GCCGUGCUGAUCCGAACUGUCACCGGAUGGUGCGCGUGCCUGGCAAUCGCCGGGAUAAGGCAGCGGGGCGCAA
RNAcentral lists this non-coding RNA (73 nucleotides) under unclassified sequences. Its description in RNAcentral is "DUF3800-IX RNA". It matches the Rfam family "DUF3800-IX RNA". From Rfam's summary of the family: Actinobacteria, Firmicutes (1 example), Nitrospirae, Proteobacteria, Verrucomicrobia (1 example). The record is from Rfam by way of RNAcentral.